CGUAUUUAAGAUCAGUCACUGUAUUUUGGACAACUGUACUUCCUCAUGUCCUCCAGAUUACCUACAGUAAAGGUCAUAGGAACGAUUAGGAGCAUAAUAUGUAGAAGUUGCACUAGUGAUCAGCUUAGAAAAGCUUAUAAAUUUGUCAACUUGAGUCUGUUCAGUUAAAGGUCCACAGCUAAGAAGACCCUUACUGAACUAUGUUGGCAAAACAUCACAUAAGAAUUAUGGUUAGAAACCUGAGCAACUUCCAGUAGCCUUGAUAGCACAUACUAUUCAUCAAUGUGUUCAUCGAACCAGAAAAUUCAGUAGCAUUUCUUGGGCACAUGUUUGGUCUGUUCCCUUCGGUUAGCCGGGCCAUAUCCGUCUUUACUGAACACAGCUCAGGCCAUAUGGGGUAACUUUAUUCCGAUCCAGUCAACAUGGAAGUCAUGCAUGUAAGCACCGGAUCGGUGGACCCUGGUCGUUUUUCAUGCAUUCAGUGUGCAUCCUGACACUACUCCCACACAUACGCAUGCUGUCUUCUUAGCAGUAAACAUGACUGAAUGUCUGAAUCUGAAUCUGAAUGCACCGAGAGAAGAACACAAGAGGCCAUCACCAACUAGGACCUGACCUGCAGUAACAUUUACCUACUGCAGCAUUGUACUUGCUUUGCAUCAUACAUUCCUACCAUACGUACAAAGUAUUUGGUACCAAAAUUAAAAAGAAAGAACAGCUGAUGUGUAUCGUAACGGCUUUGCCCUGUGGUGCAUUUGCAAAUUGGCAGGCAGUGAUGGUGUGCGUGGUGGACACAUACCUGAAGCUGGGGCCGUCGCUGCUGCCGUAUCUGGAGGGCCUGGACAGCGCGCAGCUGCAGCUCGUAACCACCUACGCCAGCCGGCUGUCCCAGCCAAGAUUCAUUGCAGCGGACGGCUGAUGCAGUGGAGUGGAGGAUGUCUCGCGGCA
This 945-nucleotide long non-coding RNA is filed under the name Setaria italica (foxtail millet). RNAcentral describes it as "long non-coding RNA (SITA_LNC000787)". Lineage: Eukaryota; Viridiplantae; Streptophyta; Magnoliopsida; Poales; Poaceae. The record is from RNAcentral.